RNAcentral lists this ribosomal RNA (301 nucleotides) under uncultured bacterium. RNAcentral's name for it is "partial 16S ribosomal RNA". It matches the Rfam family "Bacterial small subunit ribosomal RNA", at positions 509 to 807 of the family's 1533-position model. The record is from RNAcentral.
CAGUCGCCGCGGUAAUACGAAGGGUGCAAGCGUUACUCGGAAUUACUGGGCGUAAAGCGUGCGUAGGUGGUGGUUUAAGUCCGUUGUGAAAGCCCUGGGCUCAACCUGGGAAUUGCAGUGGAUACUGGGUCACUAGAGUGUGGUAGAGGAUAGUGGAAUUUCCGGUGUAACAGUGAAAUGCGUAGAGAUCGGAAGGAACAUCUGUGGCGAAGGCGACUAUCUGGGCCAACACUGACACUGAGGCACGAAAGCGUGGGGAGCAAACAGGAUUAGAUACCCCUGUAGUCCCUGUCUCUUAUAC